AGUUAAAGGUGGGUAUAAAUAUGAGUGCAGAACUGCCUCUGAGCUGAUACUCAGGGCACACAGCAUAUAGAGUAUUCUUGUUCCGCAAAAAACAGUACCUCUGCUGCUGCUGUACACUCUGCUGCUUCAGAGUCGCUGUUUAACACUGUGGGUUCACCCUUGAAUUCUUCCUGGAUGAAGCCAAGAACCCUCCUGGGCUAAGCCUCAAUUUUGGGGCUUGCCUGUCCUGCGUCAGCAUGAGUACGGACUUUGGGGUUACAAAUAGGUGCAUUUGCAAAUAUGGAAUCCACGAAUGAUGAAGAUAGACUAUCACUGGGUACCACCGGAAUUCUCUGACCUGAUAACUUCAUAUGCAAAUCCUGGCUGGUCCUUGGAACAGGAGAAAGGGUUGGAAAACAAAGAUCACUUUUCUCUGGCCAAAUGGAAUCACCCAACAAAGUACCUUCCUGAUGGGCCAGCUAUUUCAGAUGAUGAAGGUUUAAGAAGCAGCAUCAUCAGCGAACUGUGUUUUGAAGAUUUGAGGGAAGGGCUGACCUCAGGAUUUUAUACUAGGUAUUUGAUGCAAUGCAGACUGGAAUCCUCCCCACAAGGAUGCCCUGGCCUGAGUGGCACAGAGAUCAAUGCAGCAGUCAUUUCCUGGGCGGGGAAAGCCCAUCCACAGUGGCCCUGGAAUGAUGCUGGUCUUACCUUCUAUUCCUAGGAAGGCCCUAUCUCAAGUGGCUCUGGUCCAUGCAAACAGAUGGAAACGGGUGUGGGGAAGCACAGGCCUCCUACUCAUGUUAAGAGAGCUGCUCAGAGGCAGGAAUCCAGAACCAGGAAUGUCCCCAGUGGCUGCCCAAGGUACAAGUGGCAGGCAGCGGGGAGAAUGGCAUGUGAAGUCAUUUGUAACCUGGCCCCAGCUUGGUUUCCAAGUCUCAGAGGAGAUUAUGGAUAUGGUAGUGCCUGGCUCAGUGCUUAAAAUCCAUUCUCCUGCUAUUUCCCUCACCUACACUCAGCCCCACAAGCCGAGAUGUUUGCUGGACAUUUCAGGCACUGCCACCCAGUUCUGUCUACCUUACCUGCUAACACCUGUUGACCAUCCUUCAUGUGAAGGCUUCCCCAAAUACUUCCCAAUCAAAACACUAAAAGGCAGACCUGAAAUUAAUAAAAAUGUUAAUUAAAUCUGUACAACAGAAA
Molecule: long non-coding RNA, 1176 nt
Organism: Homo sapiens (human)
Lineage: Eukaryota; Metazoa; Chordata; Mammalia; Primates; Hominidae
Product: long intergenic non-protein coding RNA 2028
Source: Ensembl